CUAAGGGUCCGUAGCCGGUUUGAUCAGUCUUCCGGGAAAUCUGACAGCUCAACUGUUAGGCUUCUGGGGGAUACUGUCAGACUUGGAACCGGGAGAGGUAAGAGGUACUACAGGGGUAGGAGUGAAAUCUUGUAAUCCUUGUGGGACCACCAGUGGCGAAGGCGUCUUACCAGAACGGGUUCGACGGUGAGGGACGAAAGCUGGGGGCACGAACCGGAUUAGAUACCCGGGUAGUCCCAGCCGUAAACGAUGCUCGCUAGGUGUCUGGGAUGGUGCGACCGUUUCAGGUGCCGCAGGGAAGCCGUGAAGCGAGCCACCUGGGAAGUACGGCCGCAAGGCUGAAACUUAAAGGAAUUGGCGGGGGAGCACUACAACGGGUGGAGCCUGCGGUUUAAUUGGACUCAACGCCGGAAAACUCACCUGGGGCGACAGCAAUAUGUAGGUCAGGCUGAAGGUCUUACCUGAAUCGCUGAGAGGA
This 478-nucleotide ribosomal RNA is filed under the name uncultured methanogenic archaeon. RNAcentral describes it as "bacterial SSU rRNA". It matches the Rfam family "Archaeal small subunit ribosomal RNA", at positions 511 to 988 of the family's 1478-position model. Lineage: Archaea; Methanobacteriati; Methanobacteriota. The record is from RNAcentral.